CGGGUGGCUGCACCAGUGAGGAAUAUUGCACAAUGGGGGGAACCCUGAUGCAGCAACGCCGCGUGGAGGAUGACGCAUUUCGGUGUGUAAACUCCUUUUAUAUGUCAAGAAAAUGACGGUAGCAUAUGAAUAAGCACCGGCUAACUCCGUGCCAGCAGCCGCGGUAAUACGGAGGGUGCAAGCGUUACUCGGAAUCACUGGGCGUAAAGGACGCGUAGGCGGGUUGGAAAGUCAGGUGUGAAAUCCUACAGCUUAACUGUAGAACUGCACUUGAAACUUCUAAUCUAGAGUAUGGGGGGGGAGAUGGAAUUAGUGGUGUAGGGGUAAAAUCCAUAGAUAUCACUAGGAAUACCUAAAGCGAAGGCGAUCUCCUGGAACAUUACUGACGCUAAGGCGUGAAAGCGUGGGGAGCAAACAGGAUUAGAUACCCCGGUAGUC
RNAcentral lists this ribosomal RNA (438 nucleotides) under uncultured bacterium. Its description in RNAcentral is "partial 16S ribosomal RNA". It matches the Rfam family "Bacterial small subunit ribosomal RNA", at positions 342 to 795 of the family's 1533-position model. The record is from RNAcentral.